Molecule: ribosomal RNA, 253 nt
Filed under: uncultured bacterium
Lineage: Bacteria
Description: partial 16S ribosomal RNA
Rfam family: Bacterial small subunit ribosomal RNA
Source: RNAcentral
UACGUAGGUGGCAAGCGUUGUCCGGAUUUACUGGGCGUAAAGAGCGCGCAGGCGGUCGUUCAAGUCGCGUGUGAAAGCCCCCGGCUCAACUGGGGAGGGUCACGCGAUACUGAUCGACUCGAAGGCAGGAGAGGGUAGUGGAAUUCCCGGUGUAGUGGUGAAAUGCGUAGAUAUCAGGAGGAACACCUAUAGCGAAGGCAGCUCGCUGGGACGUUACUGACGCUGAGGCGCGAAAGCGUGGGGAGCGAACAGG